Molecule: ribosomal RNA, 289 nt
Filed under: uncultured prokaryote
Description: partial 16S ribosomal RNA
Rfam family: Bacterial small subunit ribosomal RNA
Source: RNAcentral
UGGGGAAUAUUGGGCAAUGGGCGAAAGCCUGACCCAGCAACGCCGCGUGAGGGAAGAAGGUUUUCGGAUCGUAAACCUCUGUCCUUGGUGAAGAGUAAGAGACGGUAGCCAAGGAGGAAGCCCCGGCUAACUACGUGCCAGCAGCCGCGGUAAUACGUAGGGGGCGAGCGUUGUCCGGAAUGAUUGGGCGUAAAGGGCGCGUAGGCGGCCUGUUAAGUCUGGAGUGAAAUUCCUGCUUUCAAGGUAGGAAGUGCUUUGGAAACUGGCGGGCUGGGGUGCAGGAGCCGCG